CUCAAAGGAAUUGACGGGGGCCCGCACAAGCGGAGGAACAUGUGGUUUAAUUCGAUGAUACGCGAGGAACCUUACCCGGGCUUGAACUGCAGGAGAACGAUUCAGAGAUGAUGAGGUCCUUCGGGACUCCUGUGGAGGUGCUGCAUGGUUGUCGUCAGCUCGUGCCGUGAGGUGUCGGCUUAAGUGCCAUAACGAGCGCAACCCCUUUCGUUAGUUGCCAUCAGGUAAUGCUGGGCACUCUGGCGAUACUGCCACCGUAAGGUGUGAGGAAGGUGGGGAUGACGUCAAAUCAGCACGGCCCUUACGUCCGGGGCUACACACGUGUUACAAUGGGUGGUACAGAGAGUGGGUCGUCUGCAAAUGCGAUCAAAUCCUAAAAGCCAUCCUCAGUUCGGAUUGGGGUCUGCAACCCGACCCCAUGAAGCUGGAUUCGCUAGUAAUCGCGCAUCAGCCAUGGCGCGGUGAAUACGUUCCCGGGCCUUGUACACACCGCCCGUC
RNAcentral lists this ribosomal RNA (498 nucleotides) under uncultured bacterium. RNAcentral describes it as "bacterial SSU rRNA". It matches the Rfam family "Bacterial small subunit ribosomal RNA", at positions 900 to 1398 of the family's 1533-position model. The record is from RNAcentral.